CCAAACAAAUUUGUAGUUAUAGAAUUGCUUAAAAGAUCCACCAUAUUAUGAACUUCAAAAGUCACUUUCUCAAACAAAGGUUCAUUGACCAAUAACCCGUUAAGAUUAUUACAUGAGCACUCCACCUUAGUGUUGGAGAAUGAGAGCAGUUGUAAAGAAAUUUGAGUCAAACAUAUGCUUUUGAAAAAAUUCCAAUACCUUGAUUUCAGAUUGCCAACAACAUCCACAGCAUCACUAACUACUACUACAUGUUGUACAGCAUCAUCAUUGACGUGACAUGGAUUCUGCUCUUUGUAAGGGGUUUCAAUUACCAGGUCUGAGAAGGUUAAAGAUGAACUUGUAUUGGAUGGGAAUAAUAUCGAACUUGUUUCUCGUUCUUGUGCGCUGAUAAACCAGAAAUGUCAUGGGAAGAACAAAGAUAUCCGGAAGUUCCUUGAUGGUAUCUAUGUGAGCGAGAAGGGAGCAGUAGCUGUGGAAGAGUGAUAGUUAGCUAGUGGGUAUUUGGAGUUUUAUCGGUCCUCUCUAUUCUGGUGACAUUGGCUGAUUAUUAUCCUCUUUUUAUCACCGAAGUCUUUUUGAACGUAUUUUAUAUAUCACAUUUGUUUGAAUUUACAGUUUUGUGCCGUCUAGCUCCGUUUUAAAUAGACGUGAUUGGUUAAAUACCAUUUCAUCGUUCCCGUUAUUUAUGUUUUGAUUAAAUGGAGCUUAAAUACUUGAUAUGUGUUAUGAUCGUCUCAGUGACACAGAAAGCUUAAUUAAAUUUUCUGGUAGAUGCUA
Cornus florida is the source of this 777-nucleotide long non-coding RNA. RefSeq lists it as uncharacterized. The transcript is spliced from 3 exons. Lineage: Eukaryota; Viridiplantae; Streptophyta; Magnoliopsida; Cornales; Cornaceae. The record is from RefSeq and is a predicted model, not a curated record.